RNAcentral lists this ribosomal RNA (440 nucleotides) under uncultured bacterium. RNAcentral's name for it is "partial 16S ribosomal RNA". It matches the Rfam family "Bacterial small subunit ribosomal RNA", at positions 338 to 795 of the family's 1533-position model. The record is from RNAcentral.
CCUACGUGCGGCAGUAGUGGGGGAUAUUGCACAAUGGGGGAAACCCUGAUGCAGCGACGCCGCGUGUGGGAAGACGGUCCUCUGGAUUGUAAACCACUGUUCCCAGGGACGAAGAUGACGGUACCUGGGGUGGAAGCUCCGGCUAACUACGUGCCAGAAGCCGCGGUCAUACGUAGGGAGCGAGCUGUGUCCGGAAUUACUGGGUGUAACGGGAGCGCAGGAGGGACGGCAAGUUGGGUGUCAAAUCUACCGGCUCAACCGGUAGGCGCACUCAAAACUGCAGUUAUUGAGUGAGGUAGAGGCAGGCGGAAUUCGUAGUGUAGCGGUGAAAUGCGGAGAUAUUAGGCGGAACACCAGUGGCGAAGGCGGCCUGCUGGGCUUUUACUGACGCUGAGGCUCGAAAGUGUGGGGAGCGAACAGGAUUAGAUACCCCAGUAGUC